GAUGAACGCUGGCGGCGUGCCUAAUACAUGCAAGUCGAGCGAACAGACGAGGAGCUUGCUCCUCUGACGUUAGCGGCGGACGGGUGAGUAACACGUGGAUAACCUACCCAUAAGACUGGGAUAACUUCGGGAAACCGGAGCUAAUACCGGAUAAUAUAUUGAACCGCAUGUUCAAUAGUGAAAGACGGUUUUGCUGUCACUUAUAGAUGGAUCCGCGCCGCAUUAGCUAGUUGGUAAGGUAACGGCUUACCAAGGCGACGAUGCGUAGCCGACCUGAGAGGGUGAUCGGCCACACUGGAACUGAGACACGGUCCAGACUCCUACGGGAGGCAGCAGUAGGGAAUCUUCCGCAAUGGGCGAAAGCCUGACGGAGCAACGCCGCGUGAGUGAUGAAGGUCUUCGGAUCGUAAAACUCUGUUAUUAGGGAAGAACAAAUGUGUAAGUAACUAUGCACGUCUUGACGGUACCUAAUCAGAAAGCCACGGCUAACUACGUG
This 496-nucleotide ribosomal RNA is filed under the name uncultured bacterium. RNAcentral describes it as "partial 16S ribosomal RNA". It matches the Rfam family "Bacterial small subunit ribosomal RNA", at positions 28 to 507 of the family's 1533-position model. The record is from RNAcentral.